Molecule: ribosomal RNA, 497 nt
Filed under: uncultured bacterium
Lineage: Bacteria
Description: partial 16S ribosomal RNA
Rfam family: Bacterial small subunit ribosomal RNA
Source: RNAcentral
GAUGAACGCUGGCGGCGUGCCUAAUACAUGCAAGUCGAGCGAACGGACGAGAAGCUUGCUUCUCUGAUGUUAGCGGCGGACGGGUGAGUAACACGUGGAUAACCUACCUAUAAGACUGGGAUAACUUCGGGACACCGGAGCUAAUACCGGAUAAUAUUUUGAACCGCAUGGUUCAAAAGUGAAAGACGGUCUUGCUGUCACUUAUAGAUGGAUCCGCGCUGCAUUAGCUAGUUGGUAAGGUAACGGCUUACCAAGGCAACGAUGCAUAGCCGACCUGAGAGGGUGAUAGGCCACCCUGGAGCGGAGACACGGUCCAGGCUACUACGGGAGGCAGCAGUAGGGAACCGUCCGCAAUGGGCGAAAGCCUGACGGAGCAACGCCGCGUGAGUGAUGAAGGUCUUCGGAUCGUAAAACUCUGUUAUGAGGGAAGAACAUAUGUGUAAGUAACUGUGCACAGCGUGACGGUACCUAAUCAGAAAGCCACGGCUAACUACGUG